RNAcentral lists this ribosomal RNA (1381 nucleotides) under metagenome. RNAcentral describes it as "bacterial LSU rRNA". It matches the Rfam family "Bacterial large subunit ribosomal RNA", at positions 1555 to 2925 of the family's 2925-position model. The record is from RNAcentral.
CCUGAGCCAGGAUCAAUAGGACACGAAGUGGUUGAUGCCAUGCUUCCAAGAAAAGCUUCUAAGCUUCAGGUAACCAGGAACCGUACCCCAAACCGACACAGGUGGUUGGGUAGAGAAUACCAAGGCGCUUGAGAGAACUCGGGUGAAGGAACUAGGCAAAAUGGCACCGUAACUUCGGGAGAAGGUGCGCCGGUGAGGGUGAAGCAUUUACUGCGUAAGCCCACGCCGGUCGAAGAUACCAGGCCGCUGCGACUGUUUAUUAAAAACACAGCACUCUGCAAACACGAAAGUGGACGUAUAGGGUGUGACGCCUGCCCGGUGCCGGAAGGUUAAUUGAUGGGGUUAGCUAACGCGAAGCUCUUGAUCGAAGCCCCGGUAAACGGCGGCCGUAACGAUAACGGUCCUAAGGUAGCGAAAUUCCUUGUCGGGUAAGUUCCGACCUGCACGAAUGGCGUAACGAUGGCGGCGCUGUCUCCACCCGAGACUCAGUGAAAUUGAAAUCGCUGUGAAGAUGCAGUGUAUCCGCGGCUAGACGGAAAGACCCCGUGAACCUUUACUAUAGCUUUGCACUGGACUUUGAAUUUGCUUGUGUAGGAUAGGUGGGAGGCUUUGAAGCGUGGACGCCAGUCUGCGUGGAGCCAACCUUGAAAUACCACCCUGGCAACUUUGAGGUUCUAACUCAGGUCCGUUAUCCGGAUCGAGGACAGUGUAUGGUGGGUAGUUUGACUGGGGCGGUCUCCUCCUAAAGAGUAACGGAGGAGUACGAAGGUGCGCUCAGACCGGUCGGAAAUCGGUCGUAGAGUAUAAAGGCAAAAGCGCGCUUGACUGCGAGACAGACACGUCGAGCAGGUACGAAAGUAGGUCUUAGUGAUCCGGUGGUUCUGUAUGGAAGGGCCAUCGCUCAACGGAUAAAAGGUACUCCGCGGAUAACAGGCUGAUACCGCCCAAGAGUUCAUAUCGACGGCGGUGUUUGGCACCUCGAUGUCGGCUCAUCACAUCCUGGGGCUGAAGCCGGUCCCAAGGGUAUGGCUGUUCGCCAUUUAAAGUGGUACGCGAGCUGGGUUUAGAACGUCGUGAGACAGUUCGGUCCCUAUCUGCCGUGGACGUUUGAGAUUUGAGAGGGGCUGCUCCUAGUGCGAGAGGACCGGAGUGGACGAACCUCUGGUGUUCCGGUUGUCACGCCAGUGGCAUUGCCGGGUAGCUAUGUUCGGAAUAGAUAACCGCUGAAAGCAUCUAAGCGGGAAACUAGCCUCAAGAUGAGAUCUCACUUGAACCUUGAGUUCCCUGAAGGGCCGUCGAAGACUACGACGUUGAUAGGUGGGGUGUGUAAGCGCUGUGAGGCGUUGAGCUAACCCAUACUAAUUGCCCGUGAGGCUUGAUC